RNAcentral lists this ribosomal RNA (303 nucleotides) under uncultured bacterium. Its description in RNAcentral is "partial 16S ribosomal RNA". It matches the Rfam family "Bacterial small subunit ribosomal RNA", at positions 507 to 807 of the family's 1533-position model. The record is from RNAcentral.
AGCAGUAGCCGCGGUAAUACGGAGGGUGCAAGCGUUAAUCGGAAUUACUGGGCGUAAAGCGCACGCAGGCGGUUUGCUAAGUCAGAUGUGAAAUCCCCGAGCUUAACUUGGGAACUGCAUUUGAAACUGGCAAGCUAGAGUCUUGUAGAGGGGGGUAGAAUUCCAGGUGUAGCGGUGAAAUGCGUAGAGAUCUGGAGGAAUACCGGUGGCGAAGGCGGCCCCCUGGACAAAGACUGACGCUCAGGUGCGAAAGCGUGGGGAGCAAACAGGAUUAGAUACCCCGGUAGUCCCUGUCUCUUAUAC